CGGGGUGGAGUAAUGUCUGGGAAACUGCCUGAUGGAGGGGGAUAACUGCUGGAAACGGUAGCUAUACCGCAUAACGUCGCAAGACCAAAGAGGGGGACCUUCGGGCCUCUUGCCAUCGGAUGUGCCCAGAUGGGAUUAGCUAGUAGGUGGGGUAACGGCUCACCUAGGCGACGAUCCCUAGCUGGUCUGAGAGGAUGCCAGCCACACUGGAACUGAGACACGGUCCAG
RNAcentral lists this ribosomal RNA (228 nucleotides) under uncultured bacterium. RNAcentral describes it as "partial 16S ribosomal RNA". It matches the Rfam family "Bacterial small subunit ribosomal RNA", at positions 104 to 334 of the family's 1533-position model. The record is from RNAcentral.